GGGCCGGUAGCUCAACUGGCAGAGCAGCGGACUUUUAAUCCGCGGGUUGUGGGUUCGAUUCCCACCCGGCCUACCA
RNAcentral lists this transfer RNA (76 nucleotides) under Thermalbibacter longus. RNAcentral's name for it is "tRNA-Lys". It matches the Rfam family "tRNA". Rfam says of the family: Transfer RNA (tRNA) molecules are approximately 80 nucleotides in length. Their secondary structure includes four short double-helical elements and three loops (D, anti-codon, and T loops). The record is from RNAcentral. Lineage: Bacteria; Pseudomonadati; Thermomicrobiota; Thermomicrobia; Thermomicrobiales; Thermomicrobiaceae.